GCGCAGUUGGGCGACGACGAGCUGCGGCUGCGCGCGCUGCGGCUGAAGGUCGGGAUGAUUUUUCAGCAGUUCAACCUGUUUCCGCACC
RNAcentral lists this transfer RNA (88 nucleotides) under Achromobacter mucicolens. Its description in RNAcentral is "tRNA-Ala". The record is from RNAcentral. Lineage: Bacteria; Pseudomonadati; Pseudomonadota; Betaproteobacteria; Burkholderiales; Alcaligenaceae.